RNAcentral lists this transfer RNA (73 nucleotides) under Ornithorhynchus anatinus (platypus). It matches the Rfam family "tRNA". Rfam says of the family: Transfer RNA (tRNA) molecules are approximately 80 nucleotides in length. Lineage: Eukaryota; Metazoa; Chordata; Mammalia; Monotremata; Ornithorhynchidae. The record is from Rfam by way of RNAcentral.
CGUGGGGUGGCCUAGUGGAAAGAGCACUGGACCUGGGAGUCAGAAGACUUGGGUUCUAAUCCUGCCUCCACCA